Molecule: transfer RNA, 77 nt
Filed under: Limnohabitans curvus
Lineage: Bacteria; Pseudomonadati; Pseudomonadota; Betaproteobacteria; Burkholderiales; Comamonadaceae
Also listed under: 13 other names
Description: tRNA-Met
Rfam family: tRNA
About the family: Transfer RNA (tRNA) molecules are approximately 80 nucleotides in length. Their secondary structure includes four short double-helical elements and three loops (D, anti-codon, and T loops). Further hydrogen bonds mediate the characteristic L-shaped molecular structure. tRNAs have two regions of fundamental functional importance: the anti-codon, which is responsible for specific mRNA codon recognition, and the 3' end, to which the tRNAs corresponding amino acid is attached (by aminoacyl-tRNA synthetases). tRNAs cope with the degeneracy of the genetic code in two manners: having more than one tRNA (with a specific anti-codon) for a particular amino acid; and 'wobble' base-pairing, i.e. permitting non-standard base-pairing at the 3rd anti-codon position.
Source: RNAcentral
GGUGGUAUAGCUCAGUUGGUUAGAGCGCAGCAUUCAUAAUGCUGAUGUCGCAGGUUCAAAUCCCGCUACCACCACCA